UUAGAGUUUGAUCAUGGCUCAGAUUGAACGCUGGCGGCAGGCCUAACACAUGCAAGUCGAGCGGUAGCACAGAGAGCUUGCUCUCGGGUGACGAGCGGCGGACGGGUGAGUAAUGUCUGGGAAACUGCCUGAUGGAGGGGGAUAACUACUGGAAACGGUAGCUAAUACCGCAUAAYGUCGCAAGACCAAAGUGGGGGACCUUCGGGCCUCAUGCCAUCAGAUGUGCCCAGAUGGGAUUAGCUAGUAGGUGGGGUAACGGCUCACCUAGGCGACGAUCCCUAGCUGGUCUGAGAGGAUGACCAGCCACACUGGAACUGAGACACGGUCCAGWCUCCUACGGGAGGCAGCAGUGGGGAAUAUUGCACAAUGGGCGCAAGCCUGAUGCAGCCAUGCCGCGUGUGUGAAGAAGGCCUUCGGGUUGUAAAGCACUUUCAGCGGGGAGGAAGGCGRURAGGUUAAUARCCUYRUCGAUUGACGUUACCCGCAGAAGAAGCACCGGCUAACUCCGUGCCAGCAGCCGCGGUAAUACGGAGGGUGCAAGCGUUAAUCGGAAUUACUGGGCGUAAAGCGCACGCAGGCGGUYUGUCAAGUCGGAUGUGAAAUCCCCGGGCUCAACCUGGGAACUGCAUUCGAAACUGGCAGGCUAGAGUCUUGUAGAGGGGGGUAGAAUUCCAGGUGUAGCGGUGAAAUGCGUAGAGAUCUGGAGGAAUACCGGUGGCGAAGGCGGCCCCCUGGACAAAGACUGMCGCUCAGGUGCGAAAGCGUGGGGAGCAAMCAGGAUUAGAUACCCUGGUAGUCCACGCCGUAAACGAUGUCGAUUUGGAGGUUGUGCCCUUGAGGCGUGGCUUCCGGAGCUAACGCGUUAAAUCGACCCGCCCG
Molecule: ribosomal RNA, 879 nt
Filed under: Klebsiella pneumoniae
Lineage: Bacteria; Pseudomonadati; Pseudomonadota; Gammaproteobacteria; Enterobacterales; Enterobacteriaceae
Description: bacterial SSU rRNA
Source: RNAcentral